UACGUAGGGACCAAGCGUUGUCCGGAUUUAUUGGGCGUAAAGAGCGUGUAGGCGGUCAGGUAGGUCGGUUGUGAAAACUGGAGGCUCAACCUUCAGAGGUCGACCGAAACCCCCUGGCUAGAGUCCGGGAGAGGAGAGUGGAAUUCCUGGUGUAGCGGUGAAAUGCGCAGAUAUCAGGAAGAACACCCGUGGCGAAAGCGGCUCUCUGGAACGGUACUGACGCUGAGACGCGAAAGCGUGGGGAGCGAACAGG
This 253-nucleotide ribosomal RNA is filed under the name uncultured bacterium. Its description in RNAcentral is "partial 16S ribosomal RNA". It matches the Rfam family "Bacterial small subunit ribosomal RNA", at positions 524 to 776 of the family's 1533-position model. The record is from RNAcentral.